CCAAAAAUUAGUCCCAGUUCAGAUUGCAGGCUGCAACUCGCCUGCAUGAAGUCGGAAUUGCUAGUAAUCGUGGAUCAGCAUGCCACGGUGAAUACGUUCCCGGGCCUCGUACACACCGCCCGUCACACCAUGGGAGUCGGUAACACCCGAAGCCUGUAGUCUAACCGCAAGGAGGACGCAGUCGAAGGUGGGAUUGAUGACUGGGGUGAAGUCGUAACAAGGUAUC
RNAcentral lists this ribosomal RNA (226 nucleotides) under uncultured bacterium. Its description in RNAcentral is "partial 16S ribosomal RNA". It matches the Rfam family "Bacterial small subunit ribosomal RNA", at positions 1275 to 1500 of the family's 1533-position model. The record is from RNAcentral.